RNAcentral lists this long non-coding RNA (302 nucleotides) under Neogale vison (American mink). RNAcentral's name for it is "Neovison vison (American mink) lncRNA (ENSNVIG00000016261.1)". The record is from RNAcentral. Lineage: Eukaryota; Metazoa; Chordata; Mammalia; Carnivora; Mustelidae.
CUUGUUGCUAUAGAAGAACCACUCUAUUUUAUUUGGUGCUUAUUUCAGAACAAUGAAGACAGGCUGAGCACUGCUACCAGAAAUUUAGAAGAGCUUACAGCGAAGCACAUGGAAGAAAUGAAAGAAGUGGAAAAGUAUGCAAACCAUGUCCAUAACUUAACAGAGGAAAGAGAAGCAUCUUCUCACAGUUGUGAAGAGGAAAACAAAGAACUUGGAAAUGUGGUUAAGGAGCUCCAAUCAAGACAGGGAGAAAUUUGAGCAAAUUCACCAGCCUCUGCAAAGAGAACAUGAGAAAUAUCGGG